Molecule: ribosomal RNA, 411 nt
Filed under: uncultured fungus
Lineage: Eukaryota; Fungi
Description: partial small subunit ribosomal RNA
Rfam family: Eukaryotic small subunit ribosomal RNA
Source: RNAcentral
GCUUGUCUCAAAGAUUAAGCCAUGCAUGUCUAAGUACAAGCCUCAGUAAGGUGAAACCGCGAAUGGCUCAUUAAAUCACACCUAAUCUACUGGAAAGUUACUAGUUACUUGGAUAACUGAGGUAAUUCUUGAGCUAAUACAUGCGAAAAAUCUCGACUCACGGAGAGAUGCUUUUGUUAGCCCAGACCAACGCGGUCGCUCUCGGGCGGCCGCAACCAGUGGUGACUCUGGACAACUUUGUGCCGAUCGCACGGCCCUGGUGCCGGCGACGUAUCUUUCAAGUGUCUGCCCUAUCAACUGUCGAUGGUACGUGCUAUGCCUACCAUGGUGAUAACGGGUAACGGGGAAUCAGGGUUCGAUUCCGGAGAGGGAGCAUGAGACACGGCUACCACAUCCAAGGAAGGCAGCAGG